CAUCUUUUAUGGAUGGUUGUCCAUGUUUUUUCUAUCCAUCUUUCCUUACCAGUUGCUCCUAGCUUAUAAAUUUCAUCUUCUUUUUCCUUUCUUCACCUAACUUUCUCCUUUCAACCAUCCUUGAACUAUGGAAAUAUCAAAUCAUUCAAAGCCUGAAAUAUUUAUCCUUUUGCAUUCUCUAUAGUCGUUGCCUUAUUCUCAUAUUUGAUCUUGGUGAUCCAUUUUUUUGGGUUCUUCUCAUCUUGUUGAGAGU
This 253-nucleotide long non-coding RNA is filed under the name Capsicum annuum. RNAcentral describes it as "long non-coding RNA (CANN_LNC013646)". The record is from RNAcentral. Lineage: Eukaryota; Viridiplantae; Streptophyta; Magnoliopsida; Solanales; Solanaceae.